AGCGAACGCUGGCGGCAGGCUUAACACAUGCAAGUCGAGCGGCCGUAGCAAUACGGCAGCGGCAGACGGGAGAGUAACACGUGGGAACGUACCCUUCAGUACGGAACAACCAAGGGAAACUUUGGCUAAUACCGUAUACGUCCGUAAGGAGAAAGAUUUAUCGCUGAAGGAUCGGCCCGCGUCUGAUUAGCUAGUUGGUGAGGUAACGGCUCACCAAGGCGACGAUCAGUAGCUGGUCUGAGAGGAUGAUCAGCCUCACUGGGACUGAGACACGGCCCAGACUCCUACGGGAGGCAGCAGUGGGGAAUAUUGGACAAUGGGCGCAAGCCUGAUCCAGCCAUGCCGCGUGGAUGAUGAAGGCCCUAGGGUUGUAGAGUCCUUUUAACGGGGAAGAUAAUGACGGUACCCGUAGAAUAAGCCCCGGCUAACUUCGUGCCAGCCGCUGCCGUAA
RNAcentral lists this ribosomal RNA (451 nucleotides) under uncultured bacterium. RNAcentral describes it as "partial 16S ribosomal RNA". It matches the Rfam family "Bacterial small subunit ribosomal RNA", at positions 29 to 523 of the family's 1533-position model. The record is from RNAcentral.